AAUGACCGAGUGUUCGGAGUUCCCUGAACGCAGCGCGGCUGCGCUGCCAUGUUGUUGUUCUAUUUCGGGGCAGCGGCGGAGUUUGGAGCCUUGCUGCCUGUGGACGGUCUAUGAAGGAGACGCACCGCUUUUUUCGCCUUAUCUGGACUACGACACAGAUCCGAGCCACGAAAAGUUACCACAGGACGCCAGGUGAGGUGAAGAUGGUGGACCGGCUUGCUAACAGCGAGGCCAACUCCAAGCGCAUUGCAGUAGUGGAGAGCUGCUUUGGUGCCGCUGGUCAGCCGCUGGCCAUCCCCGGCCGGGUGCUGAUCGGUGAGGGUGUCCUCACUAAGCUGUGUCGCAAAAAGCCCAAAUCUCGGCAAUUCUUCCUCUUCAAUGACAUCCUGGUCUAUGGCAACAUCGUCAUUCAGAAGAAGAAAUACAACAAGCAGCACAUCAUCCCGCUGGAGAGCGUUACCAUCGACACGGUCCCAGACGAAGGUGACCUGCGCAACGGCUGGCUCAUUAAAACGCCCACCAAGUCCUUUGCCGUGUACGCUGCCACUGCCACCGAGAAGUCUGAGUGGAUGAACCACAUCGGCAGAUGUGUGGAGGAGCUGCUGCAGAAGAGUGGCAAGGCCCCCAUUGGAGAGCACGCUGCCGUCUGGGUGCCAGACUCCGAGGCUUCUGUGUGCAUGCGCUGCCAGAAGGUGAAGUUCACGCCUGUCAGUCGGCGCCACCACUGCAGGAAAUGCGGCUUUGUAGUUUGCGGGCCAUGUUCGGACAAACGGCACCUCCUGCCCAGCCAGUCGUCCAAACCUGUUCGAGUCUGCGAGUAUUGCUACUUGCAGCUGACGUCUGGAAACCACACGCCCCGCUCAGAAUGCAUCAGCCGGCCAGGGUCAAAGUUCAACAACGACAACCUGACAGACGAGGAGGAAGAAGAUGACAGCAGUGACUGAGAUGGACCUGACCCGCCUACACCCUGACCCGUCCCCUGCUUCUAUUGACCACCAUCAAGCAGCAAUGGUGGAAUUAAGCCGGUGACCAUCAGAACUGGGCUCAGUCCACCACUCUCUCACUCUUAAUUAGUCACUACAGAACCCAACGGUGCUGAUCAGACAUCCCCUCCUUUGUGCUCCUGCACUACACAAAGUCUUUAAUUGUAACUUCAGCUCCCCUGUCCUUCAGAUCACAACAGGCUCCAACCACACACAGGCGGGUGGUUAACGUCACACUGCUUCGAGUUCUCAAAGUUCAGAUACAACAACCUGAAAAUGAAGAUGACUCCUGCUUCAUUGUUACAGCCCUUGAGAACAUUCUGGACGUGGUACUUAAUUCCCAGGAGCUCCGUGAGAGAUGCUCCACAGCAGUGGCUGUGGAUUUGCUGAGGUGCAUCAAUGUUAGCAGCCUCAUCUUCUGCCUUACAGAACGGCAGGUGUAUGUGUUGAGUCUGCCUGAUUCCUCUCUGGGCAGCAGUGUUCCUCCUGCCUGGUGGAGUUGCGUCAUCUCCUAGGAUCAGAGCCAUCUGAUCACCACAGCUUUCCUAUGAAGAGCUCAGUCUGCUGCUCGUAAUCUUUAUGCGAGUGAAACAAAUUGUGUGAGCAGUCGCUGCUUUGGAAAACUAUGAGCAACUAUUUGGUGCAGCUGGAGUGGAGCUCAGCUUCCCUCCCGUUCUCACAAGUAUGUCACCAGUUUCAUUGGCCUUUCAUCAACCUCAACAUCCAAACACGGACCAAUGUCCAAGAGGUUAAAACAUUCCACAUGGGCAUUAAAUGUAUCCACAGGUCCGGGCCGGUCCGACUUGCAACAGGACCAGGACCAGAACCUGAACGUUAGAAAGGGAGUUUAUUUUUUCCUUCCCUGCAGGUGCUGGGUCCUGCUAAUAAUAGCAGCUCCAGAGCCACGUCAGCCGAUGACAUGUGCUUAGAAAACAUUACUCCCGUUUCCUCUCCAGCACCAUCCUGGGAGGAGAGCAGGAAAAACCAUACGCCAGCAGCUUAAGCGGGUCAACGGGCGCGCAGUGUGAGCUCAUCAUUACAGCAGUGACCACAGGUUUGUGAGGCUAAAGGGCAGCGUGAUGUCUGAUCACUGCAGCAGAGUUUGACCUUGAAGCUACAGUCGUGCAACAACAGGAACAAAACCAAAUGGCUUUUCACAGGCUGCAGGUAGAGCUGCUGCUCUGGAGGAGUCUUCUCUGGCCACGUGUUUGCAGGGAGGGAAAGAGAUGCUUUAGAUUGUAUACAUUUGUAGUUGAUGUCGAUGAUUAUGUUGAUGCAGUAACAGCAGCCAAAGUAAUUAGAGCAAUCAACAAGUUAAUGAUCACUAACCUUCUGUCCUUUUUAAAGUUGUGGUGCUAAAAUAGGAAACCACUUCUUUGUUAAAACCCAGUAGCACAAAGUCUGGCACACGGAUGUCACCGCAACUCUGUCGGAUGUUCCAAAGUGAAUCUUUGUUUUAAUCCUGUCGAUGUUUGUACAGAAUUAUUUGGGUUGAAUUGCGAUUAGUUCUUCCUGUCAACCACAUUCUCUUUUCCUACUCCGUAUCUGUAGACAUCACCUUUAGAGCAACAAGUGGAUGAAAAGUGAACAGGAACUGGCAGCUUCCUGUCAGUUUCUUUACCAUCAGGUACCAGACACAACAGUUUUCCCAGCUUUUUAUUAAUAAGACUAAAAGUAGACAGAACAUUUGGUGGCUGGAUUCUAAAGUUAACCAGCGGUUAGUGAGAAUAUAAUCGUCACCUCUGUGUUGGUGACCCAACUUACUGUCUGUGUGAUGUUUUACUCUGUUGGUAAAGGUCAGAGGAUACCUAAGCAAAAUACUACAAACUUUAAUUAAUGUGCUGUUUGUCCCCAGCUAUGAGAAGCAGAUAUGACAUUACUUCAGCUCAGAACGGAAAGCUUCCAAGAAUGAAAAUGAUUAGUUACUGUAGUAACAGAGUUUAGUUACCGGUGCUGCCUUCAGGGCCUUUUAAAUGUUUGAUGAUGAGAAAGAGAAAAAUGGCAAAAUCUCAACCUGUUAAAUGACAGUGAAUAAACCAGAUGAGAAAUGCUGGUUUAGCAGUAACACAGAUUUUGUGUAUUCAUUUCCAAAAGUAAAUUAAAAAGCUGCAGAUCCUGAAAUUUACAAACCGUAAAGAAAUUAUGUAAGUUUAUGCAGGUUGUUUGUCUGUCUCUGGAGUUUUAAGGUUCUCUCUGGUGUAAUCUCUGUGUUUUUUUUGUUUUAAUUAAUUUUAAAAGUUUCUAAAAAAGGGCUCCAAUCAAAAUGUAACCAGCAUAAUACUAAAUACUAAUGAAAUAUUUGAGCAUAUUAUAAUGUUUGCUGACCUGUUGUUUUCUGUUUUGAUUAAUCUCAGAAAAAAGACAUUAAACAACCAUCAAGCCGAUUGAAUAGUAGUUGUUUACAUAAAGAAUAUAUAAUAAUCAGUCAUAUAAGGGAAUUAGCCACAGGAUGAGUCAAUUUUAAUAAACUGAAUGUGCUAUAUAAUGCAGCUGAAGAGUCUUCAGGCAGCAUUUCCAAAGUGAUCUUUGUCUUUAUGGAAGCUGCCCAUUAAAUUUACAAUGAAUUAAAUGACACAGUCGCUGAGGUUCCUGAACGUCAGUCAGUAAAUGAAAACAACCAGCAGAGUAGAGAUCUGUGAAGUCCAGUUGGGAUCAGUACUAACCACUAAUUCAAUUAAAUUUUAUUUAUAUAGCGCCAAAUCACAACAAAGUUAUCUUAAGGCACUUUACAAAGUAAGGUUUAAGACCUCACACAACUAAACCCAACAAAUCCCACAUACAGCAAGCAUUUAAUUUGACAGCAACAGUGGAGAGGAAAAACUCCCUCUCUAACAAGGAAGAAACCUCCAGCAGAACCAGGCUGGAUGUGGGCGGCCAUCUGCCUCGAGCGGUUGGGGUGAGAGGAUAGAGAGAGAAAAGCACAGCAACAACAACAACAAGCAACAACAGAGAACCGGCAGAACGGUUGGACCUGGGACUGGAUACAGGCAGGAUGGUUUGAUCCACAGCUGCUGAUCACAGACACAAAGCUCUAAGUCCGAUGUUACCUGUAGGUGAGGACAGAGUGGGGGAGAGAAAGCGAGCGGGGGAGAAGCAAAACUACUGGAGAGAAAGAGACAAGGUUUGUUAAAAACGGAACAAUGAUGGGAGGUUAUUGGACAGAAGAAGUAGAAGGAAGCGUUCGGCUGGGAGCAUAAGGAACUAUGAGGUCUUUAAGAUAAGAAGGAGCUUUAUCAUUGAGUACUUUGUAGGUGAGUAGGAGAAUUUUAAAUUCUAUCCUACAUUUUACAGACAGCCAGUGCAGAGAAGCUAAUGUAGGAGAAAUGUGAUCUCUCUUUCUAAGUCCUGUCAGAACUCUGGCUGCAGCAUUUUGAAUAAGCUGUAGGCUUUUUAAGGAGCUGUUAGGACAUCCUAUGAGUAAGCAGUUACAGUAGUCCAGCCUAGAGGUAAUAAAUGCAUGAAUCAGUUUCUCGGCAUCGCUCUGAGAUAGGAUGCUUCUGAUUUUAGCUAUAUUGAUGAGCUAUAUAUAUGAUGUAAAAGAGAGAUCCUGAUGACACCAAGGUUCCUCAAAGUAGAAUCUGAAGCUAAUGUUAUGCCAUCCAGGGUGGCUAUCUGACUCAAUAGUGUCUCUCUCAGAUUUUUAGGCCCAACAAUAAGAAUCUCGGUUUUAUCUGAGUUUAGUUGAAGGAAGUUUUGGGACAUCCAGGAUUUGAUGUGUUUUAAACAACCCUGAAUUUUGACUAGUUGAUCUGUUUCAUUUGGUUCCAAAGACAUAUAUAGCUGAGUAUAAUCUGCGUAACAAUGAAAAUUAAUAGAAUGCUUUCUAAUAAUCUCACCUAGAGGAGACAUGUAUAGGCUAAACAGGAUUGGACCAAGCACAGAACCCUGUGGUACUCCAUAGCUAAUCCUUGUGAGGAGAAUUUCUCAUUAACAUGAACAAACUGGAAUCUGUUCAACAAAUAGAAUUUAAAUGAUCCCAGUGCUGUUCCUUUAAUCCCGAUUCUAUGUUCUAGUGUCUGUAAUAGAAUGUUAUGAUCAAUUGUAUCAAAUGCAGCACUAAGAUCUAACAGGACAAGGACAGAAAGUAGACCAUUGUCCGACGCUAAUAGAAGAUCAUUAGUGACUCUAACCAGAGCUGUUUCUGUGCUAUGAUUUUUUCUAAAUCCUGACUGAAAAUCUUCGUACAGGUUAUUCCCACUCAGGUGGUCAGAUAAUUGUUUAGCCAUGAUAUUUUUACAAGAAUCUUGGAAAUAAAGGGUCAAUUUGAAAUGGGCCGAUAGUUGGCUAGUUCUCCAGGGCCCAGGGUUGGUUUGGUUGGUUUUCAAUAGAGGUUUGACCACAGCCACCUUAAAAGCCUGUGUUACAUAGCCUAAAUGUAAAGAUUGGUUGAUUUGAUUUAAUAUGGAUGAGCUGAUUAAAGGUAGAACUUCUUUGAAUAAUCUGGUUGUGAUUGGAUCUAAAAGACAAGUGGACGACUUGGAAGAGUUGAUUAUUGAGGUUAACUCCAUAUGAGUUAUGGGGAAGAAGCUGUCUAGGUAAGACAGAGAAUUUGGUAAAUAUAAAGUUGAUGGAUCUAGACAGUACUUUCUGUCAUUUGGAAGAAGUCGCUGCUGAAUGUUUUUUCUAAUGGUGAUAAUUUUAUUAGUAAAUUAGUUCAUAAAGUCAUUGCUGCUAAGAUUUAAGGGCAUAGUAGACUCAAUACAGCUAUGACUUUUAGUCAGCCUGGCUACAGUGCUGAAAAGAAACCUGGGGUCCCUCAAUUAGGGAGGAAUGAUAUGUUUUUCUAGCAGCACAAAUAUAAUAUAUAUAAUAUAAUAAUAUAGUAUAUAUAUAAUAUAAUAUAUAAUAAAAAAUAUUUUUUUAAUAUAUUAUUAGACUGUCCUUCCAUGCAAUGCAGUUUACAUUUAUUUUGUUGGAACGCCACUGUCUUUCUAGUUGUCUGGUCCUGUGCUUUAGGUUGCGGAUCUCUGAGUUAUACCACGGAGCUAACCUCCUCUUAUUCACUGUCUUCUUCUUCAGAGGGGCCACUGUGUCUAACAUUGUACGUAGAGAAGCUGCAGUGUCAUCUACAAGACAGUCAACCUGUUCAUAAGGAUUAAGGUGACUGUUCUCUGUGGAUCUACAAGACAUUGAGGCAAAAGAUGAUGGAAUCAUCUGCUUGAAUCUGGCAAUAACGUUGUCAGAUAAACAUCUGCUAUAGUAACAUUUCUUUCCAGCUAUUGUAGGGUCAAUUGUGCUAAAUUUAAAACUAGAUAACAGAGGGUUUGGGGAAGAACUAUUAAAUUAUCAAUUUGAACCCCAUAUGUUAGGACAAGAUCGAGGGUAUGGUUAAAACGAUGAGUGGGUUCAUUUACCGGCUGUAUAAAACCAAUAGUGUCUAUUAAGGAGUUAAAAGUAGUGUUGAGUCUCAGAGUGAGGCUCUCAAAUGAGUUAUAACUAUGUUUAGGUUUAGGAGUAAUUAAUAAAUCUGAUUUAUAAAUUGCUGCUACUCCACCUCCACCUGUACUUCUAAGAACAUGAUUGUUGAUGUCACUCAUUGGAGUCGACUCAUUUAAAGUAACAUAUUCAUCCUGCUGCAGCCAGGUUUCAGUGAGACAGAACAGAUCUAUGUGAUGGUCACUUAUCAAGUCAUUUAUUAACAAGGAUUUAGAUGAGAGAGAUCUGAUAUUUAAUAAACCACACUUUAUUAACUUACUGUUACUUUGUUCUAGGAGAGGAACUGUUUUGAUAUUUAUUAAAUUUUGGUAAGUCACUCCUCUUUGAUUUGUGUGUGACUUGUAUAGUUUAGGUGGUCGGGGAGCAGACACAGUCUCUAUGCGAUAACUAAAACUAAGAGUGGGUGGGCUGUAGAGAACAUGCAGAGAGGUGUGUAAGACUGCGACUCUGUGUCCUGGGCUCCACUCUGAGUUGUCACGGAGUGGGGAGACUAAGCAACAUGGCCAUGUUACUAGAAAGCAGAGAGGCUCCUUUCAACGUGGGAUGGACGCCGUCUCUUCUAAUCAGCCCAGGUUUUCCCCAAAAAGUGCUCCAAUUAGCCACAGAGCCCACAUCGUUUGCAGGACACCACCUAGACAAACAGCGGUGGAGCGAUGACAGCCGGAUAUACAUGUCAUUGCUGGUCACAUUGGAGAGAAAAAAAAGCUCCACAUUCAUGAUGUUGCUGGUUUUAAAGUGUGACUGUGCUGCACAUGUUCCUACUAAAUGGAAAUGGUGACUUUGUGUGCUUUAGUCCUUUUAGGCUGUAAAUUAGUUUGUUGUGUUGCCUUUGUUUCUUCAGGGAUGGUUGACCUCUGAUCCCAUUAACACAAACUUUCAUGUCACAGUUUGACCUGCAGCCACUGAGCACCUGGGGUUAAAGGUCAAGGCACUAGCUUGUCAACGGUACAAGCCUUAAGCUGUAAUGCCCUCCACGACCGUGUGAUGGCGCUGCUGUGGGAGUGUGACGUUAAAAACACAAGCUGGAAGCUGAUGCGAACAAAACACAUUUUACACAGUUAAGUUGGGGAAAGUAAUAAAACUAAAGUGAAGAAUUCUCAGUUUCACUGACACUGAAGCAGACCACGAACAGAAACUAAGGUAAGAAUGAUGCUUCUGUUGGUGGUAGUUUUCCCGCACUAUGAACUUAUGAAACAGAUUUAUUUAUUCUUGGACAUGGAAACAUAAAAUGAUUAUUUAAAAUACAAAUUAACUAAUGAAUAUUUGUAGAAUAAAUGCAAUGAUCAAAUACUGAACUGGGUAAUUGUGACUUGAAGCUUUGGGUCAAAGAUGAAAGAAAUUUAGGUGAUGCAGAGUCAGAGGUUCAGCAUUUCUAUUCCAACAUUAAUUAUAAACCCCCUAAUUGUAUUUGGUCGUUAGUGAGGUUGGUGCUGUACAGUACUGAAGAUCUACAAUUAUAGUUAUUCACCUGCAUCCUGUAAGAGCUUGCAUUUGAGUUGGAAAGUUGCCAAACUACAGGAAUUAGUGUCCAUGCUCCAUCAGAUUAGAGAAGAAGAGCGGAUCCUCGACUCCAUUAUAGUUCUCGGCUCGGCUGCAGGUAGAUAGGCUACCGGUUAACACCUGAAUGAUACGAUACCAUUAAUAAAUCAAUUUACAUUUUCCACUAAGGACAAAUGGAUCCGUGCUGGAGCUAAGCCCAAAAAACGCACGUGUUCCACUCCAGGUCAGCCAACGACAUGGUCUGUUGGCCAACCCUCUGGAAAACACGGCUGCAAAGCAGGGAAAGCCUCACCUGCCAGGUCCUUCAAAAACUUUAACAAGUUUUGUGCAUUAGACAAGCAAGAAUUCCCACCUCUCCCGGGUUCCUUACAACACCAGGAGACCAGAAUAACUCCAGUACCACAGAAGCCCUAGCCAUGGUCCAUCUGUGGGACACGGUCUUGGCCCUUGACGAUCUCCGCAACCCAGGGGAGUCUCCACUGGCGCACCCACGACUGCCAUCCCUGAAGAACCAAACUGAAGCUCGACACCAGUAGAGUUCCUGGAUGAUGAUCAUUGAGGACGCCAUCAUCAGACACGUAAAAGCAACACAUGCCCCCAUAACACUGUUUUUCGGGUACCAUAGUCAACCACAUAGCACCAGAAAUCCGUGAUGCACUGGAGGCUCAUUCCACUGUCACCACACGAGAUUCACGUUGGCACAAAUGACAUUACACUGCAGCAGCCGGAGACCCUAAGAAAAGAUUUCCUCAGAACCUUUAACAUCUUGAAACAAAGUUCAGUCCAGUUCCAACUAUCGACUGUGGGGUGGGACGCUUCUUCAGAUUGCUGAGCCUCCACACCUGGCUCUCAGGUAGGCAGGUAGAUGCCAGCAACAUGGUAUGGAUUUUAUUGACAAUUUUAACUUGUGUCCCUGUGUUCAUGGGAACUCAGGGACACUUUUAUAAACAUGAUGGACUACAACUAAUCAUACACAGCUCCAAGCUUCUCUCAUCAAACAUCAACUUCACCAUCCCAAACUAUCGUCAAUAUCAGGAUAACCACCACCAGCUUGGAACUGUCUCACUGUCUCACUUCCACAUCAGCAACGUCCGCAUGUGACUGACUCAUCUUCACAGACAACCCAGGUACUGUCUCCAUCGCUACCACCUGCAGCUCUCCAGAACAUAGUGAAUACUCCAUCAUUCCAAUCAACAAGAGACACAUAACCGAACGUCUAAGCAGCGUCGAUUUAAGCAAUCUGAAGUACAUAUACAUCCAUCCAUCCAUCCAUCCAUCUAUCCUCCAAGCUGCUGAAUCCCAUAUGUGGGAUCGCGGGGGUGCUGAAGCCUAACCCAGCUGGCUAUGGCAAGACAGUCCAUCGCAGGGCAACACAGACGCACGUCUUUGGACUGUGGGAGGAGCCGGAGAACCCAGGGAGAACGUGCAAACUCCACACAGAAGGGCACCAGGCCGCCUCCGGAACCCAGAACCUUCUCACUGUGAGGCGACGGUGCUACCUACCGCACCACUGUGCAAAAUGAUGCCCCACAACAUAAUCAACUGAUGGGCUGAUGGAGCAGCAGCUACACUCAUUAAAACUUUACCACCAGAAUACAGCUUUGUACAAGAGUCAAGGAUUCAUAAAAAAAGAGGCACAGCUACCAUUAUUUCCACAUCACUAGGUUUUAGAAAUAUUACAUUUGACCACUGUAUAGUUUAUAGGGGUUAAAACCCACACACAACAAAGGGCACACGUUAGAUCUGGUUCUUACAUUUAGCCUGUCUGAUCAAGUGUACAUGUUGGCCUUUCUGAUCACUUCUGUGUAUUUUUUUAGCUAGCAUUUUUAAACAAACUAUUUCAACAUAAAAAGUCCAGCGGUGCAGUCAGAACCAGCUGGAGCUCAACAUGCUCAAAACUGUGAUGUUAUGAUGGUGGACUUUAGGAAAAACUGCCUUCCCCCCUCCCCCUCACCAUCCACAAUAACACAGUGUCUACCAAGGACUCAUUCAGGUUCCUAGGGUCCACAUUCUCACAAGACCUGAUGUGGGUCUCCCCACAUAGACACUCUCUGCAGAAUGGCCCAGCAGAGGUUGUACUUCUCAGGAAGUUCAACCUGACCCAGGAGCUGCGGACCAUCGUCUAAACAGCCAUCAUCCAGUCUGUCCUCUGCACCUCCAUCCAGGGAGGCCCUAGCCAAGUUGGCGCCCUAGGCAAGAUCAUGAUUUUGUCAGCAUCACUGCUGAACCCACACACCCCACACACAAACUGCUCAAACUCCUCCCCUCUGGCAGAUGUCACAGAGCCCUAGUCACCAGUGUGGAGUCAAAUUAGGGACCUGGGUAACAUCCUGUUAGGUGUCCGUGUCAAUGCCUUGGUUUACGUUACCUAUCUUUUAGAGCGUGCGCUCUCCGGGACAUAGUAAUCUAUGAACGGAGCGUAGCGUUUUACCUUUGUUUUUGUCAUGUUUUUUGUGAAUGAUUAGGAGCGUUUUGUCCUUUUCCGACCGAAAUGUAGAAUGGGAAGGCAUCGCUUUUAUCUACCAAGCCCCUCUCGUGUGGAAGCACCUCCCUGUUCAGGUUUAAGAAGCUGACACACUCUCCACUCAAAAUCACAGAGACACUACUGAAUCAGAUAGCCACUCUGGAUGGCAUAACAUUACUGUAGCUUCAGAUUCUACUGUAAGGAACCUUGGUGUCAUCUUUGACCAGGAUCUCUCUUUUACAUCAUACAUUAACCAAAUCUCCAGAACUGCCUACAUACAUCUUAUAAAUAUAGCUAAAAUUAUAAGCAUCCUCUCUCAGAGCGAUGCAGAGAAACUGAUUCAUGUCCUAACAGCUUCUUAAAAAGCCUACAGCUUAUUCAAAAUGCUGCAGCCAGAGUUCCGAUGGGACUUGGAAAGUCCCAUCAGAAAUAAAGCUGGUUCCUCUUCAGGUUCGAGAAGCUGACACACACUCUCCACCUUUAAGAUUAGGCUUAAAACCUUCCUUUUUGAUAAAGCUUAUAGUUAGAGAUGGUUCAGGUCACUGGCACUGAUUGUUAGUCACAGGAACCAUCUCUUAGUUAAGCUGCAAUAGACAUAGACUGCUGGGGGACUUAAUUUAUACACUAAGCUCCUCUGUUUCCUUCUACCUCUUCUGUCCAAUAACCUCCCAUCAUUGUUCCGUUUUUAACAAAACUUGUCUCUUUCUCUCCAGUAGUUGUGCUUCUCCCCCGCUCGCUUUCUCUCCCCCACUCUGUCCUCACCUACAGGUAACAUCGGACUCAGAGCUUUGUGUCUGUGAUGGGCAGCUGCGGAUCCAACCAUCCUGCCUGUGUCCAGUCCCUUAUCCAGCCAUCCUGCAUUUAUCCAGUCUGUGGUCCAACCAUCCUGCCUGUGUCCAGUCUCUGGUCCUGCCUGUGCUCUAUUGUUGCCUGUUGUUGUUGCUGUGUUUUUCUCUCUCUCUCUCUCACCCCUCACCCCAACCGGUCAGGCUGCUUUGACCCGAAUGGAACAGGUCCAGGUCCACUAAGCGCGGCCCCUGCCUUCAAAAUAAUUGGAAAUAUUGAAGCGAUGCUUUUUAGAAAGGAAGCUGCUAUCUGAAAGAAGAUUGUCCCGGUUGAUGCUUAUGAAUCAUUAUUGUGGUGGGAGCAAAUAGAAACACAACGGUUUGAUUAGCAGUUAUUACCCACACAGUUCUGCUCCGCUUUCUGCACAUCAGAACCUAAUGAGCAGCUCAUUCAGAAACCACACACUCUCCUCCUACAGAGUCACUGGCUACAUCCAUGGUGAGAUGAGUUUCUCUCACCUCAGUCACUCUGGUCUACCUUCAGGAGCCUCGUUCCUUUCUCUUGUGACUCCUGUGCUCUUUAAGUACCACUACUUACUCAUACACAGUACUUCUACUGUGUUUGUUGUGCAACAAAGACUUUUGAGAGUAAGAUGAAAGAUUGAAAAGUUGUACCUCAGCUUUAACUUGAAGCGGAACAUCAGUCAGGGUUAUCUGGUGCAGUCAUCCUGGUGACAAAUCGUACCCGACCAUAACAGAACCUGUGAAAGGGUUCAUUGGAUCUCGGGGUUGGUAACAGGAGACAAAGAAUGGAAAUCGGCUCAUUGUGGAAAGAUUUGUCAUGUUUCUGUUUUCAUCCGUGGCUGAAACCUUUGAGUAAAGCGGGCCAGUUAACUGUGUAGUUGGGACCCAGAACCAAAUACAAAAGAUGGACAGAGGGAAGAAGUUCAGCUGUCGUCCUCCAAGAUGAGUCUUGAAAAAGCAGUAAAAUAACAACUGAUCAGCAUGGUCAGAUUCAUUUCACCUGCUUGUAGAGUUUAGCUUCAUAUGUGACUCAAACUCUGUGACUUCUUUUUAACACCGUUGGUGAAUUUAAAGGGCCCAUAUCAUGCAAAAUCCACUUUUUAGACAUUUUGGAGCGUCCCUAUGACUCUAUGGGUCACAUAUACACACACUGAGCACGGUAGAAAUGCAUUUCCUGCUUUUUUCACAUUUUGAAAACGUAAAUUUUCUCAUCCAAUGAAAACAGCCACGACCUACUCUGAGGCCGUGUCCCAGUUGUCGUCACAUUGGUUGAAAGUUCUCCUUGCAAAUCCUGAACCACCACCCCCACAAUGAUCCCGAACCAAAACUGGUCUUCCGCCAUUUCCCCCCUCUCACUCACCGUGAACAGACCAGCACGGCAGCGCCCAAGUCCUCCCAUAGAAAUAGUUCGGUUCUUAGGUGUUCUAACCAACACCAAAGUCUCUUCACUUUACCAAGGGAUCAACAAGUGAGGAUUUGUGGGUCACUUUUAUUUUUAACGGACCGGUGCCAGAAACACUGCCUCAGCAUUUAUACGUAUGUGCAUUUCAAACGAGGGUGCGUACAAUGCUGGAUUUGUUUCACGGCUCCUGUUGGAAAAAAAGGACCUAUUCAUAAAGUCCGUCAUCCACUCACUGAAGUAAGUACAUGCUUGAUAUUUAUAAUGUUUUAAAAUGUUAGUUUGUCCGUUUAAAUGUAGUAACCUAUGUGUGGGGCAAGUUACUAGCUAGCUAUGCUAACGGCUACAGCCAUUCGACCGAGCCUUUGUCCCCUUCAAAUGUGCUCAUGUGGGCUCCUGCAGCCACACACCUGUGUGGAGAAAAGCUAAUGAUUAUCGUAACGGCAUCGAGCGGCUACAGGCAGGGAGCGGUGGGUCUAGCGUCUGUCCUUUUUCUGUAAUCACAUACACCUGCGGGGAACAGCUGAUCUUUAUCGCCCUUCCAGCGGCGACAGACAGGAAGCGGUGGAUCUAGCUCGCUGUAGUAAGUUUGUGCUUGAUACUUGUGAUAUCUAAAUAUGUUAGUUGGGUCUGUUUAAAAUGCAGUAACCCACAUGUGAGACAAGCUAAUCGCUAGCGUCGCUAACGGCUACAGUGAGUCAACUGAGCCUUUGUCCCUUUCAAAUGUGCUACUCUGAGUUGGUGCAAUCACACACCUGUGUGGGGAACAGCUAAUAGCCAUGGGCCUUCGAUCGGCGACAGGCAGGAAGCGGUGGAUCGAGCUUUUGUCCUGUUGACGUGCUGCCGCUCCUGUUUGUGUGUUGCGUUAGCCGUUAGCAUGCCUUUAGGCCUUUGCACUUUAGAGCUACAGCUGGUCGAUCGCUACAAAAAGAACCUGCAGAUGAACGCGGUUAUGUUUAUUACCCCGUCCUGUGUCACAGCCUAAAUCAACUUGUGAUUUGGGGUUAUGUCAUUGUUCUAUCAAAUUCUAACAUGAUUAGUUGGAAUGAUUACUGUGUUGUGUUUCAAGCUUAGUUGCUAAUUAGUCACAUCUCUACAAUACCUGCUGCUUAUCUGGUCAGUUACCUAUAGCUUGUACCAUAGCCAUUAUAUUUGUAGGACCAAUACAAUUUACAGUAAAUGUAACAGUCUUUUCUAUACUGUAGGAGGGCAAAUCCCAGUUACCUACAUGCAAGGAGGCUGUCAAACAGAGAAAUCACUGCAGACUGUUGGUACACAGACAUCUGCUGCCCAGCUCAGGAGUGAAGGUAUGUAAGUUUGUAUGUACCAACAGUAAGAUAGGUAAUAGAAGAUUUUAAUUGGUAUAUACUGUUUAGAUUUUAUAUUUGAAUUGUAACAACUGUUUAUCUGUUGUUUUAGCACAGACAGGCCUGUCCUCUUGUUUGGUUUAAUUUUUUGUCUGGUAUUGUGUGUUCUUACAUUAGAGAAGGUUUUGACCUACAUAAUAAUUAACAUUUCACUAAUCUACAAUUCUGAUUGCACUACCUUUUGUUUUGAUGAGGUGAUGGUGAGGACAGCCACAGCUUCCAUCUGGUAGAGGACUGCUUCCACUCAGUCUUCCAAAUAGUGAUGAGAACAAGGAUCACCACAUCUCCCUGUUUACCCUACUUUCAUGCAUUUCGUCUGCAAGGCCCUGCAAAAGCUUCUCCUUCGUCCUCAAACCCCCAGACUUCUUAAUUAACUCAGUAACCUAUACAUUGCACAUUGGAGUGUGAAGGUAACAGUUUGUUCUAGCUUUGGAGUAGUGGUGUAUUUUUUUGGUUUACAAUAAAGUUGGCUUUAACUAUUA
Molecule: RNA transcript, 14440 nt
Organism: Betta splendens (Siamese fighting fish)
Lineage: Eukaryota; Metazoa; Chordata; Actinopteri; Anabantiformes; Osphronemidae
Gene: plekhf2
Gene name: pleckstrin homology domain containing, family F (with FYVE domain) member 2
Exons: 3
Source: RefSeq, a predicted model, not a curated record